Triticum urartu is the source of this 136-nucleotide non-coding RNA. The record is from Rfam. NCBI's taxonomy places the organism in Eukaryota, Viridiplantae, Streptophyta, Magnoliopsida, Poales, Poaceae.
UAUAUACUCCCUCCGUCCCAAAAUUCUUGUCUUAGAUUUCGUCUAGAUACGGAUGUAUUUAAUACUAAAACAUGGCUUGAAACAUACGUAUUUAGACAAAUCUAAGACAAGAAUUUUGGGAUAGAGGGAGUAUAUA